AGUGAACGCUGGCGGCAGGCUUAACACAUGCAAGUCGAACGGUAACACACUAUGAGCUUGUUCCUACUGGUGGAGGGGGGCGUAAUGGAGAGGAACAUAUCCAGAUCUAGUGUUUAGCGGAGCGUAACGUGGGGUAAUAUACGCUGAUAUCUGAUAAGAACAGCGGGGGAAAGCAGAGCAAUUUUUGACCUCGCGCGUUUGAAUGAGCCGAUGUCGGAUUAGCUAGUUGGUGGGGUAAAGGCCCACCAAGGCGACGAUCCGUAGCUGGUCUGAGAGGAUGAUCAGCCACACUGGAACUGAGACACGGCCCAGACUCCUACGGGAGGCAGCAGUGGGGAAUAUUGGACAAUGGGCGCAAGCCUGAUCCAGCAAUGCCGCGUGGGGGAAGAAGGCCUUCGGGUUGUAAACCGCUUUUGUCAGGAAAGAAAAGCUGCACGUUAAUACCGGGCGGUAAUGACGGUACCUGAAGAAUAAGCACCGGCUAACUACGUG
RNAcentral lists this ribosomal RNA (492 nucleotides) under uncultured bacterium. Its description in RNAcentral is "partial 16S ribosomal RNA". It matches the Rfam family "Bacterial small subunit ribosomal RNA", at positions 29 to 507 of the family's 1533-position model. The record is from RNAcentral.